This 305-nucleotide ribosomal RNA is filed under the name uncultured bacterium. Its description in RNAcentral is "bacterial SSU rRNA". It matches the Rfam family "Bacterial small subunit ribosomal RNA", at positions 333 to 655 of the family's 1533-position model. The record is from RNAcentral.
AGGGACCUACGGGGCGCAGCAGUGGGGGAUAUUGCACAAUGGGGGAAACCCUGAUGCAGCAACGCCGCGUGAGUGAAGAAGGUCUUCGGAUUGUAAAGCUCUGUUCUUGGUGAAGAUAAUGACGGUAGCCAAGGAGAAAGCUCCGGCUAACUACGUGCCAGCAGCCGCGGGAAUACGUAGGGAGCGAGCGUUGUCCGGAUUUACUGGGUGUAAAGGGUGCGCAGGCGGCUCUGCAAGUCAGGCGUGAAAGCUAGGGGCUCAACCCCUACACUGCGCUUGAAACUGAGGAGCUUGAGUGAAGUAGG